CCUACGGGAGGCAGCAGUGGGGAAUAUUGCACAAUGGGCGCAAGCCUGAUGCAGCGACGCCGCGUGCGGGAUGGAGGCCUUCGGGUUGUAAACCGCUUUUGUUCAAGGGCAAGGCACGGUCGUUGGCCGGGUUGAGUGGAGGGUUCGAAGAAGCACCGGCUAACUACGUGCCAGCAGCCGCGGUAAUACGUAGGGUGCAAGCGUUAUCCGGAUGUAUUGGGCGUAAAGGGCUCGUAGGCGGUUCGUCGCGUCCGGUGUGAAGGUCCAUCGCGUAACGGUGGAUCCGCGCCGGGUACGGGCGGGCUUGAGUGCGGUAGGGGCGACUGGAAUUCCCGGUGUAGCGGUGGACUGUGUAGAUAUCGGGAA
Molecule: ribosomal RNA, 366 nt
Filed under: uncultured bacterium
Lineage: Bacteria
Description: partial 16S ribosomal RNA
Rfam family: Bacterial small subunit ribosomal RNA
Source: RNAcentral